GUUAAGGCUGAGUACUACAUCUAAUUUUAUCGACAAAAGUCGGGGGUCGAAGGAGUCGAAUCCCCUCCCCCUAAAAAUUAUGGCUAUUUUAAUAUUUUCAAUUAGGGGUUUAACCCCCAUAUUAUUUUUUUUGUCGAUAAAAUUAGAUGUAGUACUCGGCCUUAAC
Molecule: microRNA precursor, 166 nt
Filed under: Spodoptera frugiperda (fall armyworm)
Lineage: Eukaryota; Metazoa; Arthropoda; Insecta; Lepidoptera; Noctuidae
Description: microRNA sfr-mir-10513 precursor
Source: miRBase by way of RNAcentral